AGAGAUGUGUGAUGACGCAUAUCAAUAAGCGGAGGAAAAGAAACUAACAAGGAUUCCCUUAGUAACGGCGAGUGAAGCGGGAAGAGCUCAAAUUUGAAAUCUUCAAGGUUCUACCUUGACGAAUUGUAGUUUAUAGAAGUGUUUUCUGUUAGUGGAGUGGCAAAAGUUCUUUGGAAUAGGACACUCAUAGAGGGUGAGAAUCCCGUAUUUGGUCAUUCUUUCUAGCUUUGUGAUACACUUUCAACGAGUCGGAUUGUUUGGGAAUGCAGUCCAAAAUGGGUGGUAAAUUUCAUCUAAAGCUAAAUAUUGGCGAGAGACCGAUAGCGAACAGGUACCGUGAGGGAAAGAUGAAAAGAACUUUGAAAAGAGAGUUAAACAGUACGUGAAAUUGUCAGAAGGGAAGCGUUUGACACCAGUGUUGUUUUUCCGAAAAUCAAUUACGAAUGUUUUGUUUUUAAGAAGUUAUGACUUCAUCGGCUUGCUUCUCUCUUUAUGAAACUUUCUUAAUGCACUUUUCGGUUAACAAGUCAACAUCAAUUUCUUUUGUUGUAAAAGGGUAUGAGGAAGGUGGCUUUCUUUUCGGAGAAAGUGUUUAUAGCCUUGUACCUCUGCAAUCGGAGAGAUUGAGGUCUGCAGCGUAGAUCCUUCGGGGUUAGAUACAUUUGUGCUAAGUUAUAGCUUUUCAUAGACAACUUGUUGACUAUGUUAAGUCUUGUAGCUUACUCGCUUACUGCUAUUUUACCUACGCUUAGGAUGUUGAAGUCAUCGUAUCGCGC
RNAcentral lists this ribosomal RNA (776 nucleotides) under uncultured Neocallimastigales. RNAcentral's name for it is "partial large subunit ribosomal RNA". It matches the Rfam family "Eukaryotic large subunit ribosomal RNA", at positions 23 to 645 of the family's 3401-position model. Lineage: Eukaryota; Fungi; Neocallimastigomycota; Neocallimastigomycetes; Neocallimastigales. The record is from RNAcentral.